RNAcentral lists this ribosomal RNA (57 nucleotides) under Bacillus sp. 103mf. Lineage: Bacteria; Bacillati; Bacillota; Bacilli; Caryophanales; Bacillaceae. RNAcentral also lists the same sequence under 1 other name. The record is from RNAcentral.
CUCUAGCGCCGAUGGUAGUUGGGACUUUGUCCCUGUGAGAGUAGGACGUUGCCAGGC